RNAcentral lists this ribosomal RNA (1530 nucleotides) under Acinetobacter baumannii. RNAcentral's name for it is "partial 23S ribosomal RNA". It matches the Rfam family "Bacterial large subunit ribosomal RNA", at positions 1 to 1584 of the family's 2925-position model. The record is from RNAcentral. Lineage: Bacteria; Pseudomonadati; Pseudomonadota; Gammaproteobacteria; Moraxellales; Moraxellaceae.
AGUCAAGUAAUUAAGUGCAUGUGGUGGAUGCCUUGGCAGUCAGAGGCGAUGAAAGACGUGAUAGCCUGCGAAAAGCUCCGGGGAGGCGGCAAAUAUCCUUUGAUCCGGAGAUGUCUGAAUGGGGGAACCCACCUACUUUAAGGUAGGUAUUGCAACAUGAAUACAUAGUGUUGCAAGGCGAACGAGGGGAAGUGAAACAUCUCAGUACCCUUAGGAAAAGAAAUCAAUUGAGAUUCCCUCAGUAGCGGCGAGCGAACGGGGAUCAGCCCAUUAAGUUAUGUGUGUUUUAGUGGAACGCUCUGGGAAGUGCGAACGUAGAGGGUGAUAUUCCCGUACACGAAAGGGCACACAUAAUGAUGACGAGUAGGGCGAGGCACGUGAAACCUUGUCUGAAUAUGGGGGGACCAUCCUCCAAGGCUAAAUACUCCUGACUGACCGAUAGUGAACCAGUACCGUGAGGGAAAGGCGAAAAGAACCCCUGUGAGGGGAGUGAAAUAGAUCCUGAAACCGCAUGCAUACAAGCAGUGGGAGCACCUUCGUGGUGUGACUGCGUACCUUUUGUAUAAUGGGUCAGCGACUUAUAUUCAGUAGCGAGGUUAACCGUAUAGGGGAGCCGUAGAGAAAUCGAGUCUUAAUAGGGCGUUUAGUUGCUGGGUAUAGACCCGAAACCAGGCGAUCUAUCCAUGAGCAGGUUGAAGGUUGGGUAACACUAACUGGAGGACCGAACCCACUGUCGUUGAAAAGCCAGGGGAUGACUUGUGGAUAGGGGUGAAAGGCUAAUCAAGCCUGGUGAUAGCUGGUUCUCCCCGAAAGCUAUUUAGGUAGCGCCUCGGACGAAUACCAUAGGGGGUAGAGCACUGUUUCGGCUAGGGGGUCAUCCCGACUUACCAAACCGAUGCAAACUCCGAAUACCUAUGAGUACUAUCCGGGAGACAGACUGCGGGUGCUAACGUCCGUAGUCAAGAGGAAAACAAUCCAGACCGCCAGCUAAGGCCCCAAAAUCAUAGUUAAGUGGGAAACGAUGUGGGAAGGCAUAGACAGCUAGGAGGUUGGCUUAGAAGCAGCCACCCUUUAAAGAAAGCGUAAUAGCUCACUAGUCGAGUCGGCCUGCGCGGAAGAUGUAACGGGGCUAAAACUAUGUGCCGAAGCUGCGGAUGUAUACUUUGUAUACGUGGUAGGGGAGCGUUCUGUAAGCCGAUGAAGGUGUGUUGAGAAGCAUGCUGGAGGUAUCAGAAGUGCGAAUGCUGACGUGAGUAACGACAAAACGGGUGAAAAACCCGUUCGCCGAAAGACCAAGGGUUCCAGUCCAACGUUAAUCGGGGCUGGGUGAGUCGACCCCUAAGGCGAGGCCGAAAGGCGUAGUCGAUGGGAAAAUGGUUAAUAUUCCAUUACUUCUGUGUAAUGCGAUGAGAGGACGGAGAAGGCUAAAUCAGCCUGGCGUUGGUUGUCCAGGUGAAAGGAUGUAGGCAUGUAUCUUAGGCAAAUCCGGGGUACUCUAUGCUGAGAUCUGAUAGCAAGCUGUACUUGUAC